RNAcentral lists this ribosomal RNA (497 nucleotides) under uncultured bacterium. Its description in RNAcentral is "partial 16S ribosomal RNA". It matches the Rfam family "Bacterial small subunit ribosomal RNA", at positions 28 to 507 of the family's 1533-position model. The record is from RNAcentral.
GACGAACGCUGGCGGCGUGCCUAAUACAUGCAAGUUGAGCGCUGAAGGUUGGUCCUUGUACCAACUGGAUGAGCAGCGCACGGGUGAGUAACGCGUGGGGAAUCUGCCUUUGAGCGGGGGACAACAUUUGGAAACGAAUGCUAAUACCGCAUAAAAACUUUAAACACAAGUUUUAAGUUUGAAAGAUGCAAUUGCAUCACUCAAAGAUGAUCCCGCGUUGUAUUAGCUAGUUGGUGAGGUAAAGGCUCACCAAGGCGAUGAUACAUAGCCGACCUGAGAGGGUGAUCGGCCACAUUGGGACUGAGACACGGCCCAAACUCCUACGGGAGGCAGCAGUAGGGAAUCGUCGGCAAUGGACGAAAGUCUGACCGAGCAACGCCGCGGGAGUGAAGAAGGUUGUCGGAUCGGAAAACUCUGUUGGUAGAGAAGAACGUUGGUGAGAGUGGAAAGCUCAUCAAGUGACGGUAACUACCCAGAAAGGGACGGCUAACUACGUG